UACAAGCAAAAAUAAAGUGAAACCGCAAAAGGCUCAUUAUAUCAGUUAUGGUUCCUUAGAUCGUAUCCACAAUUACUUGGAUAACUGUGGUAAUUCUAGAGCUAAUACAUGCAUUAAAGAGAGACCGGUAAAACGGAAUCUCUGCUUUUAUUAGAUUUAAACCAAUGGGGAGUGUUUCGGCACUCUCAAUUCAAAUGGUUGAACUCUGGAUAAUUUGUUGAUCGCAUGGUCUCGUACCGGCGACGGAUCUUUCAAAUGUCUGCUCUAUCAACUAUUGAAGGUAGUGUCUUGGACUACCUUGGUUGCAACGGGUAACGGGGAAUCAGGGUUCGAUUCCGGAGAGGGAGCCUGAGAAACGGCUACCACAUCUAAGGAAGGCAGCAGGCGCGUAAAUUACCCACUCCCAGCACGGGGAGGUAGUGACGAAAAAUAACAAUACAAGACUCACAUCCGAGGCCUUGUAAUUGGAAUGAGUACACUUUAAAUCCUUUAGCGAGGAUCCAUUGGAGGGAAAGCCUGGUGCCAGCAGCCGCGGUAAUUCCAGCUCCAAUAGCGUAUAUUAAAGUUGUUGCGGUUAAAACGUUCGUAGUUGAACUUGUGUUUCGCACGGGUAGUACCUAGGACUGGGCAACCAGGACGGUAUCUUAUCUUACUUUCUAUCUAUUUCAUAGGUAGAAAAUGUGCGUGAACGUAUUAUCGGCGUGUUCGUUCUUGCAACGUUCACAUAAGCUCAUCUCGAUGCUCUUAAACGAGUGUUGUUGUGAGCCGAUACGAAUUACUUUGAACAAAUUAGAGUGCUUAAAGCAGGCUUGUAAUGCCUGAAUAUUUUGUGCAUGGAAUAAUGAAAUAGGACAUCUGUUCUACUUUCAUUGGUUUUUUAGACCAAGAUGUAAUGAUUAAUGGAAGCAGUUGGGGGCAUUAGUAUUACAACGCGAGAGGUGAAAUUCUUAGACCGUUGUAAGACUGACUAAAGCGAAAGCAUUUGCCAAAGAUGUUUUCACUUAAUCAAGAACGAAAGUUAGAGGUUNNNNNNNNNNNNNNNNNNNNNNNNNNNNNNNNNNNNNNNNNNNNNNNNNNNNAAUUGAAUGUAGCUACUACUAUGGCUCUUUCAGUCGCUUCUCGGGAAACCAAAGCUUUUGGGCUCCGGGGGAAGUAUGGUUGCAAAGCUGAAACUUAAAGGAAUUGACGGAGGGGCACCACCAGGAGUGGAGCCUGCGGCUUAAUUUGACUCAACACGGGAAAACUUACCAGGUCCGAACANNNNNNNNNNNNNNNNNNNNNNNNNNNNNNNNNNNNNNNAUGGGUGGUGGUGCAUGGCCGUUCUUAGUUCGUGGAGUGAUUUGUCUGGUUAAUUCCGAUAACGAACGAGACUCAAAUAUAUUAAAUAGAUGCAUUCAGGAUUAUGAUAUUGAAACUUUGCAUACCCUUUGUCAUGGUGAUCGGUUCGCCGGUUGUUGUGGCAUGUUGUGGUCGUGUAGGUGGAGUCAUACCUGUUUGUUUGUCUAAAUACACAAAAUAGACACUUAGCUUCUUAAAUGGACAAAUUGUGUCUAACAAUAAUGAGAUUGAGCAAUAACAGGUCUGUGAUGCCCUUAGAUGUCCUGGGCUGCACGCGCGCUACAAUGAAGGUAUCAACGUGUAUUUCCUAGGCCGAGAGGUCCGGGUAAACCGCUGAACCACCUUCUUGCUUGGGAUUGUGGACUGAAACUGUUCACAUGAACCUGGAAUUCCCAGUAAGUGCGAGUCAUUAACUUGCAUUGAUUACGUCCCUGCCCCUUGUACACACCGCCCGUCGCUACUACCGAUUGAAUUGUUUAGUGAGGUCUUCGGACGUGAUCGCUGCGACGCCUCGUGUGUUGCAGUUGCUUCACAGAAGUUGACCGAACUUGGUUAUUUAGAGGAAGUAAAAGUCGUAACAAGGUUUC
RNAcentral lists this ribosomal RNA (1925 nucleotides) under Chalastonepsia orientalis. RNAcentral's name for it is "partial 18S ribosomal RNA". It matches the Rfam family "Eukaryotic small subunit ribosomal RNA". The record is from RNAcentral. Lineage: Eukaryota; Metazoa; Arthropoda; Insecta; Diptera; Mycetophilidae.